This 253-nucleotide unclassified non-coding RNA is filed under the name Cryphonectriaceae sp. RNAcentral describes it as "partial contains 5.8S ribosomal RNA, internal transcribed spacer 2, and large subunit ribosomal RNA". The record is from RNAcentral. Lineage: Eukaryota; Fungi; Ascomycota; Sordariomycetes; Diaporthales; Cryphonectriaceae.
CGCACAUUGCGCCCGCUGGAAUUCCAGCGGGCAUGCCUGUUCGAGCGUCAUUUCAACCCUCAAGCCUGGCUUGGUGUUGGAGCACUACCCGUUACACGGUAGGCUCUGAAAUUCAGUGGCGGGCUCGCUAAGACUCUGAGCGUAGUAGUUUAUCACCUCGCUUUGGAUGGAUUAGCGGUGUUCUGGCCGUAAAACACCCCAAAUUUUUCUGAAUUUUGACCUCGGAUCAGGUAGGAAUACCCGCUGAACUUAA